This 471-nucleotide long non-coding RNA is filed under the name Olea europaea (common olive). RNAcentral describes it as "long non-coding RNA (OEUR_LNC000483)". The record is from RNAcentral. Lineage: Eukaryota; Viridiplantae; Streptophyta; Magnoliopsida; Lamiales; Oleaceae.
CAUUACAGAUGGCUCCCAUACUGUGUUCACGUACACCAAACCUCACAUUGCGCUCUUCAGGCGUGUUCUUUUGGAAAUCACCAAACAUUUUUAGAAGGGUCAUGUUAGACGAGGCAAGAUCAGCACUGCCACCAAGUAGACCAGGGAGAACCUUAGCAAGAGCAUUGAGGUUUUGUUGAGACAGAUUCCUGGUGGCAUCAGCUGGGCUCUCGGGAGUGUACGUCUGAAGAAAAGUUUAAAAGUCAAUAAGUCUUGACAGAAACAUAUAUUAGCAAAUGAAAAACUAUGAAUUUAUUUGACUAGAGAGGAACAUUUUCCCGUUGUCAGGAGAAAUAGCAGAGUAAAAGAGUAAGAAUUUGCACAUUCUGUACUCGUUGAUUCUUCAUAUUAUCAAGCAUGUCCCUAACUUCAAACAUUUCACAAAAAAAGGCUCAAAAGACAAGAUAAAGAAUAACAAAAGUGCCAAUGAAC